GUUUGAUCCUGGCUCAGGAUGAACGCUAGCGACAGGCUUAACACAUGCAAGUCGAGGGGCAGCGGGGAUGUAGCUUGCUAUAUCUGCCGGCGACCGGCGCACGGGUGAGUAACACGUAUGCGACCUGCCCGUUGCAGGGGGAUAAGCGGAAGAAAUUCCGUCUAAUACCGCGUAAUAUGGGAAUAAGGCAUCUUAAUUUCAUUAAAGAUUUAUCGGCAACGGAUGGGCAUGCGGCGCAUUAGCUAGUUGGCGGGGUAACGGCCCACCAAGGCGACGAUGCGUAGGGGUUCUGAGAGGAAGGUCCCCCACACUGGAACUGAGACACGGUCCAGACUCCUACGGGAGGCAGCAGUGAGGAAUAUUGGUCAAUGGGCGAGAGCCUGAACCAGCCAAGUAGCGUGAAGGAUGACUGCCCUAUGGGUUGUAAACUUCUUUUGUUCGGGAAUAAAGUGCGGCACGUGUGCCGCU
This 468-nucleotide ribosomal RNA is filed under the name uncultured Bacteroidales bacterium. RNAcentral's name for it is "bacterial SSU rRNA". It matches the Rfam family "Bacterial small subunit ribosomal RNA", at positions 11 to 468 of the family's 1533-position model. The record is from RNAcentral. Lineage: Bacteria; Pseudomonadati; Bacteroidota; Bacteroidia; Bacteroidales.